Molecule: long non-coding RNA, 316 nt
Filed under: Mytilus galloprovincialis (Mediterranean mussel)
Lineage: Eukaryota; Metazoa; Mollusca; Bivalvia; Mytilida; Mytilidae
Source: RNAcentral
GGUUAGUAGGGAGGCGGGGCUUAUCUCAUACACGGUUAGUAGUGGAGUUACGUCCCUUUCUAUUCCUUAUAAGGUAUUAGGGAGGUGGGGCUUAUUUCAUACACGGUUAGUAGUGGUGUUACGUCCCUUUAUAAAAACAAAACGGUACUGAGAAAAAAUCGUAAAGGUUUCAACAGACGAAGAAAGUGAUGAUUAAGAUUGAAAUAAAUUCAUAAACCACAUGUAAACCUAACAAGUUGUUAUUGUUGGUAUCUGUUUUUGUAGGAUCAAUGGAAGUAGUUUCUUAAUGCUAACAGUAUUGAAGACUUGCUUAUUU